AACGAAGUCAGAAAAAGUUAACAUGUCUUCUGGAGAGCCAGAAGUAGAAUUGGGAUAAAACUACAAACCACAUUGGAGAUCUGUAAGGAAGAAGGACUGACUGGCUUCCCUCGGGUAGAGGACAAUAUUGGGCCUCCAAGGAAGGUUUCUUCACUCCCACCCAUCCACUUAGCAGAAUAUUUGUUGAAUAUGCACAAUGUUCUGUGGUCAAACGCUUUUGAUAUUUGCUGGUCUCCCUACCUGAGACGUUGGCCCCCCAUUCUCUGUAAAACUUCUGUUUGUUUUAGCAUCUCUGCUUAGAUAUCUCUUUGGAAUAACUUAGAAGAUGAUAGCGUAAAAUACUGCUUCAAGUGGACUGUCUCUACUUCCUCUGUUGCCAGGGUGGUCUUUGGCACAUAGCAGAUACUCAUAAAAAAUAUCUGUGGAAUUAAUGAGUAAAUAAAUGACUGUUAACAGUAACUGUUAGAAUGAGGCACUGGUCUUGGGUCCUCUCAUUUUGAGGCUUCCACUCAACUGCAAUUUAGGUAGACAUUACUUGAAUAUCAGAACAGGUUUCUCCAGCAGCAGGUGGAAGAAGGGAUUCCUGCACAGAAGGCAGUUAAAGCCAAUGCUUUCAACACAGAUGGGUUCUGACAAACAAGCCAACAGGUUUGCAUCAAUUAGGGGAAAAGUUUGCCAACCUCUGGAGUAAGAGGAUGGUGAAACCACAAGAUGGAAGGAUCCCGAGUCCCUGAUUAAUUCACCGGAGCAGAACUCAACGUUCCCCCAUCCCACCAACCUGCAUUGCCCUGUGACAGGAGGAGAUGGUUCAUAAAGACGCAUCACUUUCUCUAAGCAUUUGUUGUCAAAUAAAAUUGCAAACCACUGCUCUGAGAAGAAAAAGUCAGCAGCCAUCCCACUGGGGCCUUGCCUGGAGCCAAUGGGCUGUCCUGAAGCUUUGAAAUUCCACAGAAGUCAAAACUGAGAGUUUGCGUUCCUCGCAGACAAGCAAAACUUUCCACAGAACUAUCAUCACCAUGCAUCAGCAGAAGCCUGCCUUAUGUCAGCCUCCACCCCAGAAUUGCAGGUUAUCUUGGUUAGCAGUACCAACUGGGAAGGUAUCAGGUAAGACAAAUCUCAAUGUGAAAGUGUCAGUAGAAACUGGGUCACUUUUGAUAUUCUCUCCUUACAGGUGGACAAGGGUAAUAGGAAGAUGCAAUAUCCAAACAGAUGAGAGCUGUCUGGAAGGAAUUGUACUAUUGUACUUUUAAUUCAACCCACCAGAGUCACGCAGCUGCAAAACUGGCUAGACAGUGAGGCAACUUGUGGGCAAGGCCUGUGAGAAAACCCUUGAGUGCUUCCUGUUUGUCAAGUCAUUUCAGAGCUUGCCCAGCAGGCUUUGCCAUCAGUGACACCAGCUGAGGUGACUGAGGGCGGGAAGGCAGAAACGCCAGUGAUGAAAACGAGGUUUCCAGGCAAAUCCUUUGAUUUUCAGAGAUAGUUGUGGUUUUUAGUCAGGAUCAGGACCUUCUGCAGGUGAUAGAAAACAGUGGCGAACAGUGGUAGCUUAAUCAGGAUAGCAAUGUGUGUAUCUCAUGUAAACCAAAUCUGGAUUUGAGCAAUCUGAGACUGGUUUGGCAACCUCACAAUCAGCAGGGACUGUGGCUCCCUCUUUAGCUUGUUCCUCCACCAAAUCUAUUCAUGAUCUAAAAUGGCUCUUCAACCUCUCCACCCGGAGGAAGGAGAAGAAGAAGAAAAGGAGCCCCCUUUCUUUGAGAACACUUUGUCAGAAGAUUCAUGUUGCAGUUCUGUUUACAUUCAUUGUCUGGAACACAUUGGCUACAACUAGAGUUGAAGGUCUGGGUCUCUCUGCUGAUGGUCAUCAUGAUCGUGCACAGCAGUUGUCUCCUUCUCCAGCCACUCUGUGGUAGGCGGAAUAAUGUCCCCCAAAGAUGUCCAUGUCCUAAUUCCUGGAAUCUACAAAUAUGUUACCUUAUAUAACAAAAGGAAUUUUGCAGCUGUAAAUAAUUUAAG
Molecule: long non-coding RNA, 2013 nt
Organism: Pipistrellus kuhlii (Kuhl's pipistrelle)
Lineage: Eukaryota; Metazoa; Chordata; Mammalia; Chiroptera; Vespertilionidae
Exons: 4
Source: RefSeq, a predicted model, not a curated record